AAGAUGUCUAAUUUUUCUGCCACUCACUAGUUCCCAGAAUAUGAAAGCAGCAAUUUUGUCUCCUUUCUCAACUCUUCCUUAUGUGCCAUGGAUUCUGUUUUCUUCUUCUUUUUUUUUUUUUUUUUUUUUUGAGACAGAGUCUUGCUGCAGUGUAGUGGCGCAAUCUUGGCUCACUGCAACCUCCACCUCCGGGACUCAAGCAAUUCUCGUGCCUCAGCCUCCCAAGUAGCUGAGACUACAGGCAUGCACCACAACGCCCGGCUAAUUUUUUGUAUUUUAGUAGAGAUGGGGUUUCACCAUGUUGCCCUGGAUGGUCUCAAACUCCUGAUCUCAGGCAAUCCGCCAGCCUCGGCCUCCCAAAGUGCUGGAAUUACAGGCGUGAGCCACUGCGCCUGGCCUAUUUCUUUUUCUUUUUUAAAGAGACAGGGUCUUGCUUUAUCACCCAGGCUGGAGUGCAGUGGCAUGAUCAUAGUUUACUGCAGCCUCAGACUCCUGGGCUCAAGUGAUCCUCCCACCUCAGCCUCCUGGGUAACUGGGACCACAGGCCUGUGCUACCACACCUGGCUAAUUAUCUGUAUUAUUAUUUUUUGUAGAGAUGGGGUCUUGCUAUGUUGCCCAAGCUGACCUCAAACUCCUGGCCUUAAGCGGUCCUUCUGCCUCAGCCUCCCAAAGUGCUCGAAUUACAGGCAUGCAUCACCAUGCCUAGCUUAUUUUUUACUUUUUGUAAAAAUAAGAUCUCCCUGUGUUGCCCUGGCUGUCUUGAAUUGCUGGGCUCAAGCCAUCCUCCCAUCUCAGCCCCCCAAGUAGCUGGGACUACAGGAGUGCACCAUUUCCAAGCUUUUUCUUCUUCUUCUUCUUGUUUUGCUCUUGUCGCCCAGGCUGGAAUCCAGUGGCGCGAUCUCGGCUCACUGCAACUUCCGCCUCAGGGGUUCAAGCGAUUUUCCUGCCUCAGCUUCCUGAGUAGCUGGAAUUACAGGCACCCACCACCUCGCCUGGCUAAUUUUUGUAUUUUUAGUAGAGACAGGGUUUCACCAUGUUGGCCAGGAUGGUCUCAAACUCCUGAACUCAGGCGAUCUGCCCACCUUGGCCUCCCAAAGUGUUGGGAUUACAGACAUGAGCCACUGAGCCCAAUUACUAUUUUUUUACUCAAAACCGCACACACACCUUCCACCCCCUCCCCCCUCUCCAUUUUCCUUCAUAGGGAAGGAAUGUUGCUCUCUGAUAUUCUACUGUCAAUGCUUUAUUCCAAUUUUCUUCCCCUCUCUUUCCACCCUAGACUGCCUGCUCCGGGGGGCCAGGGAUCUCUGUCCAUCUUGUGCUCGGCUGUAUCCCCAGUGCCUUCAGUGACGCCCAGCACAUGGAUGGCGACCACAGAGAAGCCAGAAUUGGGCCCUGCUCAUGAUGCUGGUGACAACAACAUCUAUGAAGUGAUGCCCUCUCCGGUCCUCCUGGUGUCCCCCAUCAGUGACACAAGGUCCAUAAACCCAGCCCGGCCCCUGCCCACACCCCCACACCUGCAGGCGGGGCCAGAGAACCACCAGUACCAGGUAUGGAGCUGGGAGCUGGGAGGGGUGGUGGGGAUCCCACGGAUCCAGGAGCCCCGAAGCUGGGGUGGGGAGGGGUCAAGACAACUGAAACUGGGGGCUUUCCUCCCCUCGUCCCCGCAAGCCUCACGGUCUCUGCUCUCGGAGAAGCCCAAACCGCCUCCCUGAGAAACCCUGGCAAGUCCCUUUUCCUCCCAAGGCUGCAAUUUCCUUCUUUGCAAAAGGGAUCCAAAACCUUGAACUUGCACAGGAGGAACAAGGCCCAGAGAGGGACAGGGAAUUGCCUGGGGCCACACAGCCAGUCAGGUCUCCAGUGAAACCCCACCGCAGAGCUCAGUCCCUCUCCAUCCCCUCCUGUCAGCUGUCUGUCCCUGUAGUUCUGUCUCUCUCUCUCAGUGGCCUACAUAUGUCUGUAUGUCUGUCUUCCCCUUUCUUGGACUCUCUCUCUCUCUCUCUCUCUCUUUCUCUCUCUCUCUCUCUCAGUUUCUCUGGCUGUGUCCUUUUUAAUCUGUCUUUCUCUGUUUCCAGUUUGUUCAUGCUGCCUUGUCUAAGAUGCAUCUCUUUACAUGUCUUCGUUUCUCUGCAUCUCUGUCUCUCUCUCUCUCCAUUCUCUGUCUCUCCUGCCUCUUUGUCUCUGUCACUGUGUCCACCUCAUUUCUUGGCUCUUCCAGGACCUCUUGUCUCUGCAUCUCACUCUCUUUCCACCUUGCUCUUCCAUUCUCUCUGCGGGUUUCUCUCCAUCUCACGCUGUCUCUCAUCCUCUGUCCCUCUCUGUCUCCCCAAGACUCUCCCCCUCCACCCAGUCAUAAUUCUGUUCUCUCUUCCCCCCCAAGCAGGACCUGCUAAACCCCGACCCUGCCCCCUACUGCCAGCUGGUGCCAACUUCCUGAUGGGUCCUGGGCCAGGCCAGCCAGGGAGAAGACAAGGCCCCAGCCCUCCUCUGGGAGCCUCACACCUGAGACCAGCAGGACAAGGCCAUCGGGGGCUGUGGGGCCGAUGGGGUGGACUCAGCCAAAGACUCAGCAGCACAUGGGGCAGGUGUCCUGGCAGGGGGACAGGAGACUGUAACAGGCCCAGGUCCCUGUGCAGCCCCUGAAUGCACGCCCACCUUCGGUCUGUUCCUUCAAGCAAGCUGGCCUGGGCCAUGUGCAUGUGAAAGGCAGGCUCUGGCCCCUUUCCAUGCCAAAGUCCCCCAAGAUCUGGAUAUCUGGGGACAAGAUGGUGGCCUCAGGCCUGCCUCCCAGGCAGUUGGCUGGGCUCCCAAAUGUCUGUCCUCAAUGCCCUACCCCAACUCCACUAGUGACCCUCAGAGUCUUCUCCCCUUAGGACAAGGCAGACACCCCACCAUGCGGGCCUCAGGUGGCAGAGAGGCCCAGCCUCACAGGCCUGUGGCCCCACACACCAGUCCCAGCAAGGUGACCACGGCUGCCGGACCCCUUCCCUGUUCAGGCAGGCCCAGCCCCUCUCAGAACCCGCUGCCAGCUGCUGGUCUUGGCCCCCACCCUGAAUCUCACUGAGUCCCUCUGGGCAGCAGCUCCCUUCUCCACCCCACCCCAGCCCGCAUCCCAAAUGUGGCCUCAGCUUGUCCUCCCCUUCCCCAAACUAUGCAUUCAUUUAGCAAUAAAUGAGCCUUUGCUGUAUGCCAGACCCAGUUCUAAGCUCUUGCAGCCCUGGUAGAAAGCAAAACAAAAACUCCCGCUUUCCCAGAGGGUCACUUGGCAGGGGAAAGAAUCAGGAAAUAAAAUAAAUAAUGAACAUG
This 3303-nucleotide small RNA is filed under the name Pan troglodytes (chimpanzee). RNAcentral describes it as "retained intron". Lineage: Eukaryota; Metazoa; Chordata; Mammalia; Primates; Hominidae. The record is from RNAcentral.